GAUGAACGCUGGCGGCGUGCCUAAUACAUGCAAGUCGAGCGAGAAACUACGAAAAGAUUCUUCGGAUGACUUUCGAAGCGGAAAGCGGCGGACGGGUGAGUAACGCGUAGGCAACCUGCCCUUUGCUCGGGGAUAGCCACUGGAAACGGUGAUUAAUACCCGAUAAUGCAGUCCCAUAGCAUUUUGGGACUGCCAAAGAUUCAUCGGCAGAGGAUGGGCCUGCGUCUGAUUAGCUGGUUGGUGAGGUAACGGCCCACCAAGGCGACGAUCAGUAGCCGACCUGAGAGGGUGAUCGGCCACAUUGGAACUGAGACACGGUCCAAACUCCUACGGGAGGCAGCAGUAGGGAAUCUUGCACAAUGGGCGAAAGCCUGAUGCAGCAACGCCGCGUGAGCGAUGAAGGCCCUUCGGGUCGUAAAGCUCUGUCCUUGGGGAAGAAGAAAGUGACGGUACCCUUGGAGGAAGCCCCGGCUAACUACGUGCCAGCAGCCGCGGUAAUACGUAGGGGGCAGGCGUUAUCCGGAAUCAUUGGGCGUAAAGAGUACGUAGGUGGUUUUCUAAGCGGGAGGUCUAAGGCUGCGGCUUAACUGCAGUUCGCCUCUCGAACUGGGAGACUUGAGUGCUGGAGAGGAAAGUGGAAUUCCUAGUGUAGCGGUGAAAUGCGUAGAUAUUAGGAGGAACACCAGUGGCGAAGGCGACUUUCUGGACAGUAACUGACACUGAGGUACGAAAGCGUGGGGAGCAAACA
This 748-nucleotide ribosomal RNA is filed under the name uncultured bacterium. RNAcentral's name for it is "bacterial SSU rRNA". It matches the Rfam family "Bacterial small subunit ribosomal RNA", at positions 28 to 774 of the family's 1533-position model. The record is from RNAcentral.